This 300-nucleotide unclassified non-coding RNA is filed under the name Hevea brasiliensis (rubber tree). Lineage: Eukaryota; Viridiplantae; Streptophyta; Magnoliopsida; Malpighiales; Euphorbiaceae. The record is from RNAcentral.
GAAUAAUGUUUUAAGGAAGCCACUGAGUAGGCUGACAUGUGGCAUGCUCUUAUCUGUUCAAUGCUUGUUGCCAUGGCAUUUUCCUGUGUCUUGAUUUAAAAAUAAAAUAAGAUUUUGGACUUGAUUGUAAAAAGGACCAUGUUUUAGUACUGCAAAUGUAAUUAUUUCAUACUUUGUUAGAAGCAUCUAAAUAUCAAAGACCAACUGCAAAUUAAUUAUGAAAUGCUGAAAGUUGAAUUAGAUUUGGUUGGGAUAUUCUUGGAAGUGGUAAAUAAGUUGCAGCUCAAUCGCUAGAUGCAC